GCACAGGCCCAUUGUCGGCAUGAGGA
This 26-nucleotide non-coding RNA is filed under the name Homo sapiens (human). The record is from RNAcentral. Lineage: Eukaryota; Metazoa; Chordata; Mammalia; Primates; Hominidae.